Molecule: ribosomal RNA, 363 nt
Filed under: uncultured bacterium
Lineage: Bacteria
Description: partial 16S ribosomal RNA
Rfam family: Bacterial small subunit ribosomal RNA
Source: RNAcentral
CCUACGGGAGGCAGCAGUGAGGAAUAUUGGUCAAUGGACGCAAGUCUGAACCAGCCACGCCGCGUGCAGGAAGACGGCUCUAUGAGUUGUAAACUGCUUUUGUACGAGGGUAAACGCAGAUACGUGUAUCUGUCUGAAAGUACCGUAUGAAUAAGGAUAGGCUAACUCCGGGCCAGCAGCCGCGGUAAUACGGAGGAUUCAAGCGUUAUCCGGAUUUAUUGGGUUUAAAGGGAGCGUAGGCGGUCGGUUAAGUUAGAGGUGAAAUCCCGAGGCUCAACUUCGGAAUUGCAUCUGAUACUGGUCGGCUAGAGAGUAGUUGAGGUAGGCGGAAUGUAUGGUGUAGCGGUGAAAUGCUUAGAGAUC